This 468-nucleotide ribosomal RNA is filed under the name uncultured bacterium. RNAcentral describes it as "partial 16S ribosomal RNA". It matches the Rfam family "Bacterial small subunit ribosomal RNA", at positions 28 to 507 of the family's 1533-position model. The record is from RNAcentral.
GACGAACGCUGGCGGCGUGCUUAACACAUGCAAGUCGAACGGAAAGGCCCUGCUUUUGUGGGGUGCUCGAGUGGCGAACGGGUGAGUAACACGUGAGUAACCUGCCCUUGACUUUGGGAUAACUUCAGGAAACUGGGGCUAAUACCGGAUAGGAGCUCCUGCUGCAUGGUGGGGGUUGGAAAGUGUCGGCGGUUGGGGAUGGACUCGCGGCUUAUCAGCUUGUUGGUGGGGUAGUGGCUUACCAAGGCUUUGACGGGUAGCCGGCCUGAGAGGGUGACCGGCCACAUUGGGACUGAGAUACGGCCCAGACUCCUACGGGAGGCAGCAGUGGGGAACAUUGCACAAUGGGCGGAAGCCUGAUGCAGCAACGCCGCGUGCGGGAUGACGGCUUUCGGGUUGUAAACCGCUUUCGCCUGUGACGAAGCGUGAGUGACGGUAAUGGGUAAAGAAGCACCGGCUAACUACGUG